UUUAAUUAUAUAUUUAAUUAUAUAUUUAAUUAUGUAUUUAAUUAUGUAUUUAAUUAUAUAUUUAUGUAUUUAAUUAUAUAUUUAAUUAUAUAUUUAACUAUAUAUUUAAUUACAUAUUUAAUUAUUUAUUUAAUUACUUUAUUUUAUGAUUUUAAUUUAUGAUUUUAAUUUAUUAUUUAUUUCAUUUAUUUUUAUCUUUUAUUCGUGUUUUUAUUUACUCUAUCUUUUUACACAAAAUUACUUACUGUUUUUUUAUUUUUUACACUCAUCAUUUUUAUAAUUUUUGUCAGUUUUUUAUUUGAUUUAUUAAAAUUAUAUAUGAUCGUUUGUAUGGACGUAUCACAUGUAUAUAUAUAUAUCCAUCUUAUUUGUUUUUUUUACCAUCACCCACUUAGUAUUUUAAAUUAAAAAGUAAAUUACUACUUAUUUUUUUGAUUUCUAUUUUAUCCGUUCAUUUAGUUCAAAUUAUUAUUACUACUAACUAAUACUACUUCCUAUCACUACUACCUAUCGCUAGUAUAUAUCACUACUAUAUAUUACUAAUACUAGCUGCACUUCUCCCUUUUUAUAAAAAAAAAAAAAAAAAAAAAAAAAAACAUGGAAACAGAAAUAAAAAAUAAUAAUAAAAAUUUUGAAAAAGAGCUUAAAGUUGAAAUAAAUAAUAUAAACAGAAUUAUUUUAGAUAUACUAUGCUCAGAAGCGAUAAAAAAAAUAAAAUUUAUUUUACAUGUGCUAAAAGAAUUACUAAAAAAAAAAACGAACAUUUUAAAUGUUUAUUUAACUAAUGACAUUGACCAUUUAUCUACUGAAAAACAACAAAAGCAAAUAUUCAAUUCGUUACAAAAUCAAAUAGAAUUAUGCGAAAAUGAAAACGAUUAUAAUGUUAUAAAAAAAAAAAUAGAAGAUUAUAUUGAUACUUUAAGUCAAACCAAUAAAUUGUUGUGUCAAAAUUCACCUGUUGAUAGGAAUUUAAAAGAAAAUAGAGAUAAAAUAAUUGAAGAUGGUUCAAUGCUUUUAAAAAUUUUUAGGCAAAUUAAAAAACUUAACUUUUCAGCUGUUUUGAGUGAGUUGAAUAAAUUUAAGGAAGAAAACAAUUUACUUCUGAAUGUAAACAUACAAAAACGUACAUAUAUGUAUAUAUAUAUAUAUAUAUAUAUAAGUUUGUACACAUUUAUGUGUGUGUCACUUGUUCGUUCACAAAAUAUAUGCAGUUUCGGUAUAAGUUGUAUGUUAUUCUAUUCUUAACCAUCUCUUCUCUACAAGCACACACAUGUACCCGCCUCAUACGGCUUGCUUGAUAGCUUUCUACAAUAACCUUUUAUAUAACUAUUUUUUAUUACAACUCUUAUCUUUUAAUGCGCCAAUCGUUUUAUACAUUUGUCUUAUUUUCCCUUACUCAGUUGAAGCAAAAUGUUUAUCACAAAAAACAAAUAAUUAACAUUUUAAAUGAACAAAUAAAAGAGCAAAUCGAGAAUACA
Molecule: long non-coding RNA, 1478 nt
Filed under: Piliocolobus tephrosceles (Ugandan red Colobus)
Lineage: Eukaryota; Metazoa; Chordata; Mammalia; Primates; Cercopithecidae
Description: lncRNA (ENSPTEG00000016034.1)
Source: RNAcentral